RNAcentral lists this ribosomal RNA (1384 nucleotides) under uncultured bacterium. Its description in RNAcentral is "partial 16S ribosomal RNA". It matches the Rfam family "Bacterial small subunit ribosomal RNA", at positions 28 to 1387 of the family's 1533-position model. The record is from RNAcentral.
GACGAACGCUGGCGGCGUGCCUAAUACAUGCAAGUCGAACGAAGCUUUCUUUCACCGAAUGCUUGCAUUCACCGAAAGAAGCUUAGUGGCGAACGGGUGAGUAACACGUAGGCAACCUGCCCAAAAGAGGGGGAUAACACUUGGAAACAGGUGCUAAUACCGCAUAACCAUGAACACCGCAUGAUGUUCAUGUAAAAGACGGCUUUUGCUGUCACUUUUGGAUGGGCCUGCGGCGUAUUAACUUGUUGGUGGGGUAACGGCCUACCAAGGUGAUGAUACGUAGCCGAACUGAGAGGUUGAUCGGCCACAUUGGGACUGAGACACGGCCCAAACUCCUACGGGAGGCAGCAGUAGGGAAUCUUCCACAAUGGACGAAAGUCUGAUGGAGCAACGCCGCGUGAAUGAAGAAGGCCUUCGGGUCGUAAAAUUCUGUUGUCAGAGAAGAACGUGCGUGAGAGUAACUGUUCACGUAUUGACGGUAUCUGACCAGAAAGCCACGGCUAACUACGUGCCAGCAGCCGCGGUAAUACGUAGGUGGCGAGCGUUGUCCGGAUUUAUUGGGCGUAAAGGGAACGCAGGCGGUCUUUUAAGUCUGAUGUGAAAGCCUUCGGCUUAACCGAAGUAGUGCAUUGGAAACUGGAAGACUUGAGUGCAGAAGAGGAGAGUGGAACUCCAUGUGUAGCGGUGAAAUGCGUAGAUAUAUGGAAGAACACCAGUGGCGAAAGCGGCUCUCUGGUCUGUAACUGACGCUGAGGUUCGAAAGCGUGGGUAGCAAACAGAAUUAGAUACCCUGGUAGUCCACGCCGUAAACGAUGAGUGCUAAGUGUUGGAGGGUUUCCGCCCCUCAGUGCUGCAGCUAACGCAUUAAGCACUCCGCCUGGGGAGUACGGUCGCAAGACUGAAACUCAAAGGAAUUGACGGGGGCCCGCACAAGCGGUGGAGCAUGUGGUUUAAUUCGACGCAACGCGAAGAACCUUACCAAGUCUUGACAUCCUGCGACGGUGCUGGAAACAGUACUUUCCUUCGGGACGCAGAGACAGGUGGUGCAUGGUUGUCGUCAGCUCGUGUCGUGAGAUGUUGGGUUAAGUCCCGCAACGAGCGCAACCCUUAUGGUCAGUUACUACGCAAGAGGACUCUGGCCAGACUGCCGUUGACAAAACGGAGGAAGGUGGGGAGGACGUCAAAUCAUCAUGCCCUUUAUGACUUGGGCUACACACGUACUACAAUGGCGUUAAACAAAGAGAAGCAAGACCGCGAGGCGGAGCAAAACUCAGAAACAACGUCCCAGUUCGGACUGCAGGCUGCAACUCGCCUGCACGAAGUCGGAAUUGCUAGUAAUCGCAGAUCAGCAUGCUGCGGUGAAUAAAAUCCCGGGCCUUGUACU